UUGGAGGCACAUAGAGAAAGAGAUGCUACUAGCCUUGCCUCCCCCCCCCCGUUUGAAGUGGUGAGGAGGAAGGGAGGGAGGGAGCCCUAAAUAAUCAUUCCGCAGGGAGAAAGACAGGCAGCCGGGAGAGAUGGUGCCAAUCUCCACAGCCAGUAGCUUCCUAUCUGACAGAUGGAAUAAGCUUCCUUGUGGUGGACCAAAUAUGUUUGGAUAGACCAUUGCAGAUAACAAGCUCAGUUUUGGCAAGGAAGAAGCCACGGAGCUAUGUCUGUGCUGGCUGGGAGAGGUGAACAAUCUGUGAAAAUUUUGGAAUAUUGCAAUAAGGCCAAAGAAAAAUAUAUAUAAAGCAGAAAGAUUUAAUUAAAGGAGAAGAGAAAGAAUGGUAAGACAUCCACUAACUGAUUGCUUUGAAAAUACCUUUCAAAUGUGUUUUCAGUUGUAGGAUUGGAAAUAUU
This 455-nucleotide long non-coding RNA is filed under the name Naja naja (Indian cobra). RNAcentral describes it as "lncRNA (ENSNNAG00000000405.1)". Lineage: Eukaryota; Metazoa; Chordata; Lepidosauria; Squamata; Elapidae. The record is from RNAcentral.